UACGUAGGGGGCAAGCGUUGUCCGGAAUCAUUGGGCGUAAAGCGCGUGUAGGCGGCUUGAUAAGUCCGUUCUGAAAGCCCGGGGCUCAACCCCGGGAGGCGGAUGGAUACUGUCAAGCUUGAGUCCGGAAGAGGCGAGUGGAAUUCCCGGUGUAGCGGUGAAAUGCGCAGAUAUCGGGAGGAACACCAAUGGCGAAGGCAGCUCGCUGGGACGUGACUGACGCUGAGACGCGAAAGCGUGGGGAGCAAACAGG
Molecule: ribosomal RNA, 253 nt
Filed under: uncultured bacterium
Lineage: Bacteria
Description: partial 16S ribosomal RNA
Rfam family: Bacterial small subunit ribosomal RNA
Source: RNAcentral